UCGGCCGCGGGAAUUCGAUUCAGGCCUAACACAUGCAAGUCGAACGGUAUCGGGCCUUCGGGUGCUGACGAGUAGAGAACGGGUGAGUAAUGUAUCGGAACGUGCCCAGUAGUGGGGGAUAGCCCGGCGAAAGCCGGAUUAAUACCGCAUACGACAUACGGGUGAAAGGGGGGGAUCGCAAGACCUCUCGCUAUUGGAGCGGCCGAUAUCAGAUUAGGUAGUUGGUGGGGUAAAGGCCUACCAAGCCUGCGAUCUGUAGUUGGUCUGAGAGGACGACCAGCCACACUGGGACUGAGACACGGCCCAGACUCCUACGGGAGGCAGCAGUGGGGAAUUUUGGACAAUGGGCGCAAGCCUGAUCCAGCAAAGGCGCGUGCAGGAAGAAGGCCUUCGGGUUGUAAUCUUAAGGAGUCAGGGAAGAAAUCCUCUGGGUUAAUACCUCGGGGGGAUGACGGUACCUAAGAAUAGC
This 469-nucleotide ribosomal RNA is filed under the name uncultured bacterium. RNAcentral's name for it is "bacterial SSU rRNA". It matches the Rfam family "Bacterial small subunit ribosomal RNA", at positions 36 to 491 of the family's 1533-position model. The record is from RNAcentral.